This is a long non-coding RNA of Phyllostomus discolor (pale spear-nosed bat), 127 nucleotides long. RefSeq lists it as uncharacterized. The transcript has 3 exons. The record is from RefSeq and is a predicted model, not a curated record. Lineage: Eukaryota; Metazoa; Chordata; Mammalia; Chiroptera; Phyllostomidae.
AUAAAUGUUUUUAAUUCUUUUAUUUAUCUUUAUGCAUUAGAAGUGUAACUCCAGAAAGCAAUAGUGAUAUCUAUAUGCAAAAUAAUACCCUGGAAUAUGAUAAUAAAUUUUGCAAUACAAAAUUUCU